CCUACGGGAGGCAGCAGUGAGGAAUAUUGGUCAAUGGGCGAGAGCCUGAACCAGCCAAGUCGCGUGAGGGAGUACUGCCCUAUGGGUUGUAAACCUCUUUUGUCGGGGAGCAAAAGCCGGACGUGUCCGGCUGUGAGAGUACCCGAAGAAAAAGCAUCGGCUAACUCCGUGCCAGCAGCCGCGGUAAUACGGAGGAUGCGAGCGUUAUCCGGAUUUAUUGGGUUUAAAGGGUGCGCAGGCGGAUUUUUAAGUCAGCGGUAAAAUCGUGGGGAUCAACCCCAUCCAGCCGUUGAAACUGGGGAUCUAGAGUGUGCGAGAGGUAUUCGGAAUGCGUGGUGUAGCGGUGAAAUGCAUAGAUAUCACGCAGAACCCCGAUUGCGAAGGCAGCAUACCGGUGCACAACUGACGCUCAGGCACGAAAGCGUGGGUAUCGAACAGGAUUAGAUACCCUUGUAGUC
Molecule: ribosomal RNA, 458 nt
Filed under: uncultured bacterium
Lineage: Bacteria
Description: partial 16S ribosomal RNA
Rfam family: Bacterial small subunit ribosomal RNA
Source: RNAcentral